CGCCUUGCCAGCCCGCUCAGAACUUAAAGGAAUUGACGGGGGCCGCACAAGCGGAGGAGCAUGUGGUUUAAUUCGAUGAUACGCGAGGAACCUUACCUGGGCUCGAACGUAAGAUGACUGUAGGUGAAAGCUUACAUCUCUUCGGAGCAUUUUACGAGGUGCUGCAUGGUUGUCGUCAGCUCGUGCCGUGAGGUGUCGGGUUAAGUCCCAUAACGAGCGCAACCCCUACCUUUAGUUGCCAUCAGGUAAUGCUGGGGACUCUAAAGGAACUGCCUACGCAAGUAGUGAGGAAGGCGGGGAUGACGUCAAAUCAGCACGGCCCUUACGUCCAGGGCUACACACGUGCUACAAUGGCCGAUACAGAGGGCAGCUACCUGGUGACAGGAUGCAAAUCUCCAAAGUCGGUCUCAGUUCGGAUCGGAGUCUGCAACCCGACUCCGUGAAGUUGGAUUCGCUAGUAAUCGCGCAUCAGCCAUGGCGCGGUGAAUACGUUCCCGGGCCUU
Molecule: ribosomal RNA, 503 nt
Filed under: uncultured Sphingobacteriales bacterium
Lineage: Bacteria; Pseudomonadati; Bacteroidota; Sphingobacteriia; Sphingobacteriales
Description: bacterial SSU rRNA
Rfam family: Bacterial small subunit ribosomal RNA
Source: RNAcentral